This 273-nucleotide ribosomal RNA is filed under the name uncultured bacterium. RNAcentral describes it as "partial 16S ribosomal RNA". It matches the Rfam family "Bacterial small subunit ribosomal RNA", at positions 82 to 354 of the family's 1533-position model. The record is from RNAcentral.
CUUCCGCCGGCGACCGGCGCACGGGUGAGUAACACGUAUGCAACCUGCCCCUGUCAGGGGGACAACCCGCCGAAAGGCGGGCUAAACCCGCGUACAUGCCACCGGGGCAUCCCGGAGGCAGGAAAGGCUUCGGCCGGACAGGGAUGGGCAUGCGGCGCAUUAGCUAGACGGCGGGGUGACGGCCCACCGUGGCGACGAUGCGUAGGGGUUCUGAGAGGAAGGCCCCCCACACUGGGACUGAGACACGGCCCAGACUCCUACGGAAGGCAGCAG